UUCCUCCACAGUUUGAAUGGCUUGUGUUUGGUGUGUUUGCGUGUGUGAGUGUUCGAGUGUUCGGCGACUGCUUGACUGAGUGAAGUGAGGGUGUUUGUUUGUUUGUGUGUGUGUGUGUAUUUCUGUAAAAACCUACACAGUGAUCUUAUUUGAUCCGGUCCGAGUUCGGCUCUGCUCUGAUCGGAGAUGAUAGGAAAAGCGCUCGCAAGCCUCCGUGGCGAUGAGCAGCAGGCAAGAUGUCAACCUCCAGGGCCCUCCACGGCUCUGUGUUGUGGUGAGAGGUGAUGAAUUGAUCAGAUAUACUAGUUCUGGCUGAGUUUGGGGUUCAUCUCAAGCUUCACGAUGGACAAUGAGUAAAGAGGCGAUUCUGAUCUGA
Molecule: non-coding RNA, 376 nt
Organism: Xiphias gladius (swordfish)
Lineage: Eukaryota; Metazoa; Chordata; Actinopteri; Istiophoriformes; Xiphiidae
Product: small Cajal body-specific RNA 2
Exons: 1
Source: RefSeq, a predicted model, not a curated record